RNAcentral lists this ribosomal RNA (1320 nucleotides) under Vibrio alginolyticus. RNAcentral describes it as "bacterial SSU rRNA". It matches the Rfam family "Bacterial small subunit ribosomal RNA", at positions 92 to 1408 of the family's 1533-position model. Lineage: Bacteria; Pseudomonadati; Pseudomonadota; Gammaproteobacteria; Vibrionales; Vibrionaceae. The record is from RNAcentral.
CGAGCGGCGGACGGGUGAGUAAUGCCUAGGAAAUUGCCCUGAUGUGGGGGAUAACCAUUGGAAACGAUGGCUAAUACCGCAUGAUGCCUACGGGCCAAAGAGGGGGACCUUCGGGCCUCUCGCGUCAGGAUAUGCCUAGGUGGGAUUAGCUAGUUGGUGAGGUAAGGGCUCACCAAGGCGACGAUCCCUAGCUGGUCUGAGAGGAUGAUCAGCCACACUGGAACUGAGACACGGUCCAGACUCCUACGGGAGGCAGCAGUGGGGAAUAUUGCACAAUGGGCGCAAGCCUGAUGCAGCCAUGCCGCGUGUGUGAAGAAGGCCUUCGGGUUGUAAAGCACUUUCAGUCGUGAGGAAGGUAGUGUAGUUAAUAGCUGCAUUAUUUGACGUUAGCGACAGAAGAAGCACCGGCUAACUCCGUGCCAGCAGCCGCGGUAAUACGGAGGGUGCGAGCGUUAAUCGGAAUUACUGGGCGUAAAGCGCAUGCAGGUGGUUUGUUAAGUCAGAUGUGAAAGCCCGGGGCUCAACCUCGGAAUAGCAUUUGAAACUGGCAGACUAGAGUACUGUAGAGGGGGGUAGAAUUUCAGGUGUAGCGGUGAAAUGCGUAGAGAUCUGAAGGAAUACCGGUGGCGAAGGCGGCCCCCUGGACAGAUACUGACACUCAGAUGCGAAAGCGUGGGGAGCAAACAGGAUUAGAUACCCUGGUAGUCCACGCCGUAAACGAUGUCUACUUGGAGGUUGUGGCCUUGAGCCGUGGCUUUCGGAGCUAACGCGUUAAGUAGACCGCCUGGGGAGUACGGUCGCAAGAUUAAAACUCAAAUGAAUUGACGGGGGCCCGCACAAGCGGUGGAGCAUGUGGUUUAAUUCGAUGCAACGCGAAGAACCUUACCUACUCUUGACAUCCAGAGAACUUUCCAGAGAUGGAUUGGUGCCUUCGGGAACUCUGAGACAGGUGCUGCAUGGCUGUCGUCAGCUCGUGUUGUGAAAUGUUGGGUUAAGUCCCGCAACGAGCGCAACCCUUAUCCUUGUUUGCCAGCGAGUAAUGUCGGGAACUCCAGGGAGACUGCCGGUGAUAAACCGGAGGAAGGUGGGGACGACGUCAAGUCAUCAUGGCCCUUACGAGUAGGGCUACACACGUGCUACAAUGGCGCAUACAGAGGGCGGCCAACUUGCGAAAGUGAGCGAAUCCCAAAAAGUGCGUCGUAGUCCGGAUUGGAGUCUGCAACUCGACUCCAUGAAGUCGGAAUCGCUAGUAAUCGUGGAUCAGAAUGCCACGGUGAAUACGUUCCCGGGCCUUGUACACACCGCCCGUCACACCAUGGG